Molecule: long non-coding RNA, 3963 nt
Organism: Artibeus jamaicensis (Jamaican fruit-eating bat)
Lineage: Eukaryota; Metazoa; Chordata; Mammalia; Chiroptera; Phyllostomidae
Exons: 4
Source: RefSeq, a predicted model, not a curated record
CUUUUUUUUUUUUUUUAAGUGUUUGUGGGUCUUAAACACUUCUCAACCUGGAGAAGGAAUAUACUUUCAAGGACUCCUUGUGCUUAGAGUUCAUAACCAGUGUAGCAGCGAUUGCUUACAGGGUCCACUCACCCACAUUACAUUUUAGAGAAACGCUGUGGAGUGAGCUCCCAGCCUUGUUGACACUAUUAGGAAUGUCCCAACCCCCCCCCCCCCGCCGCCCAUUUGCUUUCCUCCACCCAGCCCCUGCCUCACUCACCCCACCCUUCCCUCUGGCCAUCACCACACUGUCUGAGUCCUGUGGGUUAUGUAUAUAUGUUCUUUGGCUGAUCCCUUCACCUACUUUCAUCCACUCCCCCCUCAGCUCCCUUGUGACAGCUGUUAGUCUGUUCUUUGUAUCUAUGCCUCUGUUUCUAUUUUGUUCAUUAGUUUAUUUUGUUCGUUAUAUUUCCCAUGUGAGAUCAUAUGGUACUUGUCUUUCUCCUACUGGCUUAUUUCACUUAGCGUAAUAACCUCCAGGUCAAUCCAUGCUGUUGCAAAAGGAUAUCGAACCUGCAACCUUGGCAUGUUGGGAUGAUGACAUUCUAACCCACUGAGCUCCCUGGCUGGGGAAAGCCAUUAUUUAAGCCACCAUUCUCAGACGAGAAAUCAUGGUGCCUGAGAGUGUUUCCUGGGACUGCCAAGGCAAUACCAGUGCCACCAGAGAAGCACUCAGCUUUCAACAAGAUCCACACAACAGGCAAGACUGGGUGGCGAGGAAUGCUGCCUCCAUGGCCACGUCCAGCUAGAUGGUGGGACCGCGCAGACCCUGGAGCUAACAGGGCCUGGGCAGUGCCAAGGGCCAGCCAAGGCCAGUCAUGCCCAUGUGAGCAUGUGCUGGGGGUCCAGCUAGCUGGGCCAUGGGUGUGUGUACGUGCCCGAGUAUGUUCCCAGGGGCCCCUACCUGCUGAUGGAAAAGAUCCUCCUCGCCAAACUCCGCUCCCUCCUCUUCACCCUCCUCCCCGUUCUCGGUCUCCCGAACCGCUGAGGACUGUUUCACAGUUCUAAUGGCCACUUCCUGUGGAGGACAACAGCCAUGGUCUCUCGGCCCCUCAGCUGUGCAGGCCCAGCCCACAUGGGAGCAGCAGUCAGCAUGCUUGGACAGGGUGUCACAGCGCUGCAGAGUACCAUCUGGGGACCUGGCCCAGGCUCUACCCCACGGCUCCUGUACCGCCUGGUGGGGCGGAGUAGGGAGAUCCCAGGACAAGGCAGAGGCACCCCCACACCCUAAACCCAGGCACACACCUCUCCAUCGGCGUUGACCAGGACUGUCCGGAAGUUCUCGCCUGUGCCCCAGCUGAUCUGAUUCUUCCACACAAGUGUCGAUGGGGGGCUGUGGGCCACCCCUGCACCAGCUGCCCACACCUGGGGACACACCAAAGGGCCUCCCUGUCAAUGCUGGCUCUGACCCUGAUGCAUGUGCUACCAGCCGGACCCUUAUCAGAGCCCCCUUUGAUGCACCAGGCAUUUGUUCCUUCCAGUCUUACUGGGUCCUACCCAGGAAUGAUGAUCACCAGGGUAUGGAAGAAGAGACUCAAGUUCACAGUGGCCAAGGGCACUGAUCUUGGCAAGCAGGCCAAGCUGGAUCUGAAGCCCGUCAUCUCCAGGGCCCAUGCCCAAGACUGUUACAUCUCUUGCCAACACCUGCUGGCCUGGAGAGCUGGACUCAGACCCGCCUCCACCGUGAGAUCCCGGCAUGUCACUUUGCCACACCAAAGGGCUUCAGAGAAGGCCCACUGGAACAACACCGGCACACAGGACCUGCCUCUUGAUCCUCCAGUUCCCCAGAGACUGGUCCUGAAAAGGGACAAUGCCUGACACAGCUGUGGAAGACCCAACUGGGGAACCUCCAUCCUGGGUCAAAGCCCCUUACCUUAUCUGAGCUGUUCUUCAGCUGCACAAACUUGCCCUCCAAGUCUAUCUCUUCGAUGCUGACGCUGCCUGAGGCUGAGGCCUGCUGGGCCAGGUGGAAGCUGCGGCUGCUGCUGCUGCCACCGCCGCCUGAACUGAUGCCACUGGAGCCUGUGCCCAGUGGGUCCUCCACCUCCAGCCGCCUCCGCUUGCUGCGGCUGGAGCGCCCCGCCAUGGACAUGCUGCUGCUGCUGCUUGAGGUGGCCCGUGAGAUGGUGACCCGUGACGAUGGGCUGGGGGACAGCUUCAGCCUGGGGUUUGAAGGGGGAACGGAGUGACUGGUAGUGGCAGCCAAGAGCCUGUUGGCCCAAGGAUGGAGCAGGACGGCCCAGAGAGUCUUGCGGUAGGCACUGAUCUCCAUGUCGAGGGCCAGCUUGAUGUCCAGCAGCUCCUGGUACUCGGCCAACUGCUGCGUCAUCACAUCCCGCAUUUCCGUCAUCUCCAGCUCCUUCGCGUCCAGCAUCUUCCGGAACCUGUCACGCUCCCCAGCCAUAGCCUCCUCUAGCUCUCGGAUCCGAUCCUCAGCUGCACUAGCCUGGGGAGGAGUCCGAGGCCAAGUCAGGGCAGCCUGGGGGGGUCAUGAGGAGAAGCCCACCCGGCUCUGGGACAGAGACCAGACCUGUGGGGGUCGGAGGGGCCAGGGAGCCAGCAGCCUUACUCAGGCACAAGAGGGAUGGGUCAGGCAUGGGCGAGUGCCUGACCUUCAAGAUUGCAACUACUGCCCAGAGGCAGGAGGAAGGACCUUGCUGGGGUUGUGAGGCAGGGGCAGGCGCAGGCGCAGGCAUGGACUCCCAAGAAUCACCUGCUUCUGGAGGCCGGAGAGCUGGUAGCUGAGAGACUCAACCCGCAUGCGUGCCUCCUUCAGCUCCUCACGGGCAGCGCUGGCGGCCUUGUCAUUCUGGUCAGAGCUCAGCUUGGCACUCUCCAGCUGAGGGGACAGGAGUGGGCAGAUGAGGCGACAGGUAUGGAGCAAGAGGAGCCACCGGUACUUUCCCACCUGUUCUGUCCCUCCCCCAUUCCCUGCCACCCCACCUGUCCCACCUGCCGUCCCGCCCCCCACCCUCUCCCAGCCCACCUUGGCCUGGUAGGCCUGCUCCAGCUCCAGCUUGUAGAGCCGCACUUGCUCGUCAUGCUGGCUGCGCAGCUCCUCGAGUGCCUGCGCCAUCUUGAAGUCGUACUCCUGCUGCCGGCUGCUGUCCACCUCCACCAGGCGCCGCUCGUGCCGCCGACGUGUCUCCCGCACCUCCUAGGGAAAGGGCACCCGACCUACUGAGGCAGGCGGCAGGGCUGGCGGGCUAGGGAUGACGGCCCUAGCCUGCCACCGACCCAUGCAGCUCGGCGGCGUGCUCACCCCGAGUGCCAGGUGCCAGCGAGGGCUCAAAACUGUAAACCGGGAACCUCUGGGGAGUUGCCCUGGUUACUCAUUCACAAAUUAUCCAUGGAUAUACACUUCACAAUCACCAGAAAGGACACAGCCCAGAUGUCCCUCAGAUGAUGAGUGGACAGGUGCCCACACACAGAAGCCACGAAAAGGAGUGAAGCACUGACACGAGCAUACACAGACCUGGAGCACACGAAGCUCAGUGAGAGGAGCCAGACACACAGCCACAGUGCGUAACUCGUUUACGUGAAACAUCCAGAACAGGCGUGUCCACAGACAGGAAGUAGGGAAUGGGGGUGACUGCUAAUGGGUGCAGAGCUUUUUGGGGAUGAUGGAAUGUCCUAGAAUUUGAGGUGCUGGUUGCUCAACCUUGUCAAUGUACUAAAAACCACUCUAAGAAUGGGACUGAUCCCCGAAAAAAAUUUACUUAUUAAAAAAUUGCAUAUUUAUGCCGUGGCUGGUGUGGUUCAGUGGAUUGAGUGCUGGCCUGAGAACCAAAAGGUUGCUGGUUCAAUUCCCAGUCAGGGCACAUACCUGAUUUGGAGGCCAGAUCCCGAGUUUGGGUUGUGCAAGAGGCAACUAAUCAUUAUUUCUCUCCUCUUUAAAAUAAAUUAAAUCUUUAAAAAAUACAA